GACGAACGCUGGCGGCGUGCUUAACACAUGCAAGUCGAACGGAAAGGCCCUGCUUUUGUGGGGUGCUCGAGUGGCGAACGGGUGAGUAACACGUGAGUAACCUGCCCUUGACUUUGGGAUAACUUCAGGAAACUGGGGCUAAUACCGGAUAGGAGCUCCUGCUGCAUGGUGGGGGUUGGAAAGUUUCGGCGGUUGGGGAUGGACUCGCGGCUUAUCAGCUUGUUGGUGGGGUAGUGGCUUACCAAGGCUUUGGCGGGUAGCCGGCCUGAGAGGGUGACCGGCCACAUUGGGACUGAGAUACGGCCCAGACUCCUACGGGAGGCAGCAGUGGGAAAUAUUGCACAAUGGGCGGAAGCCUGAUGCAGCAACGCCGCGUGCGGGAUGACGGCCUUCGGGUUGUAAACCGCUUUCGCCUGUGACGAAGCGUGAGUGACGGUAAUGGGUAAAGAAGCACCGGCUAACUACGUG
This 468-nucleotide ribosomal RNA is filed under the name uncultured bacterium. RNAcentral describes it as "partial 16S ribosomal RNA". It matches the Rfam family "Bacterial small subunit ribosomal RNA", at positions 28 to 507 of the family's 1533-position model. The record is from RNAcentral.